CAUCAGACAGCCAGUGAUACAAUCACAGAUCCAUGGAGAGAAGAUGCUCAGAGUCCUGGAGAAAGCAGGACAGGGGAUCCCGAGCUUGUGAGGACAUUAAAAAUGACAGAUCCCGUCUGUGAGGAGGUAUAUUCAACAUUUCUCAAAUAAGAGAAGAGAAUCAAAGAGAUGUCCAUCUGGUAAGAUGAGCAGUGACUGAAAAUGGAGACAGGCAAAAAUGGUUCCUUGGCUUCUCUCCGACGCUAGAUCAGGCUUCCAUGAACCAGUGAACUUCCAUCGCCAGAGACCCUUGCUAGUCCCACGCUGCAAAGAUAAGCAGGAUGGCUGACAUUCCUGCUACAAGACAGCCAUGAGAGAUCUGGCAGUGGGAAAGGAAGACAGGGUGAUGGCACUCAAGAAGGAGUUGACAGUCAAGAAGCAGGAAUCCUAAGAAACAAGUACUAAUGCACAGAUCCUGAUGCUAAAGAAAAUCUAGUGCAGUCUGAAGAUGGUAAUUAGAGAUAAAAAGAAAGGAACUUGGAGAAGGCUAUUUUUCCAUUCCUGGGUGAUGACCUUUGCUCUCCACUGAAAGGACACAGAAGCACAGCUCCUGGCAGUGAUUAAGCUUCUACAACUUUAAAAAACAGAUCCACGGACAACAUACACAUCGCAGUAUUUCAUCGUGGCAGCCCUCGCAGACUAAUAUGAAAGUUGCUAAAGGCUUGUGUUGCCGGCUUUGCUGA
Molecule: long non-coding RNA, 722 nt
Organism: Mastomys coucha (southern multimammate mouse)
Lineage: Eukaryota; Metazoa; Chordata; Mammalia; Rodentia; Muridae
Exons: 7
Source: RefSeq, a predicted model, not a curated record